This 252-nucleotide ribosomal RNA is filed under the name uncultured bacterium. Its description in RNAcentral is "partial 16S ribosomal RNA". It matches the Rfam family "Bacterial small subunit ribosomal RNA", at positions 524 to 775 of the family's 1533-position model. The record is from RNAcentral.
UACGAAGGGGGCUAGCGUUGUUCGGAAUUACUGGGCGUAAAGCGCACGUAGGCGGAUAUUUAAGUCAGGGGUGAAAUCCCAGAGCUCAACUCUGGAACUGCCUUUGAUACUGGGUAUCUUGAGUAUGGAAGAGGUAAGUGGAAUUGCGAGUGUAGAGGUGAAAUUCGUAGAUAUUCGCAGGAACACCAGUGGCGAAGGCGGCUUACUGGUCCAUAACUGACGCUGAGGUGCGAAAGCGUCGGGAGCAACAGG